This 500-nucleotide ribosomal RNA is filed under the name uncultured bacterium. RNAcentral describes it as "partial 16S ribosomal RNA". It matches the Rfam family "Bacterial small subunit ribosomal RNA", at positions 30 to 523 of the family's 1533-position model. The record is from RNAcentral.
AUUGAACGCUGGCGGAAUGCUUUACACAUGCAAGUCGAACGGCAGCACGGACUUCGGUCUGGUGGCGAGUGGCGAACGGGUGAGUAAUGUAUCGGAACGUGCCCAGUCGUGGGGGAUAACGUAGUGAAAAUUACGCUAAUACCGCAUACGAUCUAUGGAUGAAAGCGGGGGAUCGCAAGACCUCGCGCGAUUGGAGCGGCCGAUAUCAGAUUAGGUAGUUGGUGGGGUAAAGGCCCACCAAGCCAACGAUCUGUAGCUGGUCUGAGAGGACGACCAGCCCACCGGGGACUGAGACACGGUCCAGACUCCUACGGGAGGCAACAGUGGGGAAUUUUGGACAAUGGGCGAAAGCCUGAUCCAGCCAUUCCGCGUGCAGGAUGAAGGCCCUCGGGUUGUAAACUGCUUUUGUACAGAACGAAAAGGUUUCUACUAAUACUGGGAGCUCAUGACGGUACUGUAAGAAUAAGCACCGGCUAACUACGUGCCAGCCGCCGCAGUAA